Molecule: unclassified non-coding RNA, 235 nt
Filed under: Glomeraceae sp.
Lineage: Eukaryota; Fungi; Glomeromycota; Glomeromycetes; Glomerales; Glomeraceae
Description: partial contains 5.8S ribosomal RNA and internal transcribed spacer 2
Rfam family: 5.8S ribosomal RNA (bases 1-65)
Source: RNAcentral
GUGAAUCAUCAAAUCUUUGAACGCAAAUUGCACUCUCGUCGGAGAGUAUGUCUGUUUGAGGGCCGUUAGAACAAAAAUCGAAGCGUCGCUCUUUUUUUUUAAGGGUGAUCGAGUGGGAAUUGAGCCGUCUUUCAAAUGUUAAUUAAUGUCAAAGUGGCUUGAAAAUUAUCCUUGCGGUUCGAUUAAAGAGUAUUUAAGAUCAACUUUGAUUAAGAAUGCGUGAUGAACGUACCAU